RNAcentral lists this ribosomal RNA (253 nucleotides) under uncultured bacterium. Its description in RNAcentral is "partial 16S ribosomal RNA". It matches the Rfam family "Bacterial small subunit ribosomal RNA", at positions 524 to 776 of the family's 1533-position model. The record is from RNAcentral.
UACGUAGGCAGCAAGCGUUGUUCGGAAUUACUGGGCGUAAAGAGUGUGUAGGUGGUGUCGUAAGUUUGGUGUGAAAUCUCCCGGCUUAACUGGGAGGGUGCGCCGAAGACUGCGAUGCUGGAGUAUGGGAGAGGAAAGCGGAAUUCCUGGUGUAGCGGUGAAAUGCGCAGAUAUCAGGAGGAACACCGAUUGCGAAGGCAGCUCGCUGGGACGUUACUGACGCUGAGACGCGAAAGCGUGGGGAGCAAACAGG